AGCGAACGCUGGCGGCAGGCUUAACACAUGCAAGUCGAGCGGGCCUUUCGGGGUCAGCGGCGGACGGGUGAGUAACGCGUGGGAACGUUCCCUCUGGUUCGGAAUAACUCAGGGAAACUUGAGCUAAUACCGGAUACGCCCUUUUGGGGAAAGGCUUGCUGCCGGAGGAUCGGCCCGCGUCUGAUUAGCUAGUUGGUGAGGUAACGGCUCACCCAGGCUACGAUCAGUAGCUGGUCUGAGAGGAUGAUCAGCCACACUGGGGCUGAGACACGGCCCAGACUCCUACGGGAGGAAGCAGUGGGGAAUAUUGGACGAUGGGCGCGAGCCUGAUCCAGCCAUGCCGCGUGAGUGAUGAAGGCCUUAGGGUUGUAAAGCUCUUUUAUCCGGGACGAUAAUGACGGUACCGGAGGAAUAAGCCCCGGCUAACUUCGUG
Molecule: ribosomal RNA, 433 nt
Filed under: uncultured bacterium
Lineage: Bacteria
Description: partial 16S ribosomal RNA
Rfam family: Bacterial small subunit ribosomal RNA
Source: RNAcentral